UCUCUAGUUUCCUGCAUUUGUACCCUCCUCGUCUCAUGAUUUCUGGUCUUGGUAGCAUAUUUGUGUGUGGAUGAUUUCCUACCUUUACUAUAUGUAUGUCUUUACCAGUGAGCCCUGUCAUUUGUAAUUUUUUUUUCUUUUGCCUUUUUGCCUUUUCUAGGGCUGCUCCCGCAGCAUAUGGAGGUUCUCAAGCUAGGGGUCUAAUUGGAGCUGUAGCCACCGGCCUACACCAGAGCCACAGCAAUGAGGGAUCUAAGCCGCCUCUGUGAUCUGCACUACAGUUCAUGGCAAUGCCGGGUCCUUAACCCACUGAGCAAGGGCAGGGAUCAAACCCGCAACCUCAUGGUUCCUAGUCGGAUUCAUUAACCACUUCGCCACGACGGGAACUCCCUGUAAUAUUUUUGUUUCUAGUUGUGGUCUUUCCUUUUCCACUUAGAGAAGUUCCAUUAGUAUUUAUUGUAAAGCUGGUUCAGUGGUGCUGAAUUCUCUUAGUUUUUGCUUAUUUGUAAAGCUUUUGAUUUCUCCUUCCAAUCUGAAUGAGAUCCUUGCUGGGUAGAGUAAUCUCGGUUGAAGGUUUUUUCCUUUCAUCACUUUAAUUAUAUUAUGCCACCCCCUUCUGGCCUGUAGAGUUUCUGCUGAAAAAAAUCAGCUGAUAACAUUAUCUGGGUUCUCUUGGUUUUUUUUUGUUUGUUUGUUUGUUUUUGUUUUCUCCUAGCUGCUUUCAGUAUUUUCUCUUGUCUUUAAUUUUGGUCAGUUUGAUUAAUAGGUGUUCCUCCUUGGGCUAUUUUCUGUGGUACUCUUUGUGCUUUCUGGAUUUGAGUGAGUGAUUGCUUUCCCAUGUUAGGGAAGUUUUCAACUAUUAUCUCUUCAAAUAUUUUCUCUGGCCCUUUCUUUCUCUCUUCUCCUUCUGGCACCCCUAUAAUACGGAUGUUGGUGUGUUUAAUGCCAUCCUAGAGUUCUCUUAGACUGUUUUAAUUUUCAUUUUCAAUAUUUUUUCUUUUCUGUUCAGCAUCAGUGAUUUCCAAUGGUCUCUCUUCCACCUCACUUAUUCAUUCUUCUGCAUCCUAUAUUCUGCUGUUAGUUCCUUCUAGUGAAUUUUUUGUUAUUGUAUUUUGCAUUUCUGCUUGCUUAAAUUUUUAAAUCUGCUUGCUUAAAUUUUUAAAUCUUCUAUUUCUUUGCUCGAUGUUUCUUGUAAUUUAUUAAUCUUUGCCUCUAGUUUAUUUCUGAGAUCUUGAAUCAUCUUUACUAUCAUUAGUCUAAAGUCUUUCUCAUGGAAGUUGGUAAUCUCCAGAUCACCUAGCUGUUUUUCUGGGUUUUUCUUAUUCCCUUAUCUGAGUCAUAAUUCUUUGCCUUUUCAUUUUGUAUAGAUUUUUGAUGUGGUCUCCUUUUUGCAUACAAUAGGGUUGUAGCCUCUCUUGCUUCUGAUGUCUGUACCCCUUGUGUCAGAAGUUGGUAAUGGGGCUUGGUGUGGGCUUCAUGAUGGGAGAGCCUGGUGCCUCCCCACUAGUAAGUGGAGCUGAUUCUUAUCCCUCUAGUGGGUGUGGAUUUGUCUCUGGGCAUAAUUAGAGGUGGUUGUGUGCGUGGUGGGUCUUUAGGCAGGCUUUUUGCUGAUGAGUGUGUCUGUGUCCCCACCCUCUUUGUUGUUUGUCCUGGGGCUUCUUAGCCCUGAUGGGUGGGCCAGCUUUUUCCAAAAUGCCCACCUCCAGAGGAGUUCAUGCUGAUGAUUUUUCCCAAGACCUUGACCUCCAAUAUCCUUCCCCCACAAUGAGCCAUAGUCACUGUUUUCCCAGGAGAGCCUCCAAGAACUGCAGACAGGUCUGACCCAGACUCCUAUGGAGUCUAUGCUUUGCUGUAAGGCCCACUGCACAUGAAAGCUUGUAUGUGUCUUUCAAGAGUUGAAUCUCCAUUUUUCCAGUCCUGUGAAGCUCCUGUGCAAAAGCCCCACUGGUGCUCAAUGCCAAAUGCUCUGGGGGCUCCUCCUCCCAAUGCUAGAUCCUCAGGCAUGGGCAUCUGACAUGGGGCUUGGAACUCUCCUGUGGGUGAGUCUCUGUGAUACAGUUACUUUCCACUCUAUGGGCCACCCACCCAGCGGGUAUGGGGUUGCUUAUAUCAGGUAAUUAAUUGCCCCUCCUACCUUCUUGAUGUGGCCUCCUCUUUGUCUUCUGUAGUAGGAUAUCUUUUUUGAUAGUUUCCAGUCUAUUUUGUUGAAAGUUGUUUAGCAGUUGGUUGUAAUUUUGUUGCUUUUAUGAGAGAAGAUGAGUUCCAGUUAUUCUACUCUGCCAUCUUGAUCCUGUCCUCCUGGUACUUUGAAUAAAGAGAGCAAGCUUUCAUCAGACUUUUGUCUGUAUCUGUUUUUUUUUAAAUUAUUAAUUUGUAUCAGUAUGUAGAUGACUUACAAUGAUACAUUAGUUUCAGGUGUACAGCAGUGUAAUUCAGUUAUACAAUACAUAUCUAUUCUUUUUCAGAUUCUUUUCCUAUAUAGGUUAUUCUCUUUAAUAUAUAAUAAUUAUCAAUUUUAUAAUUAUCUUGUUAAUUAUCUAUUUUAUAUAUGGUAGUGUAUAUAUGUUAAUCCCAAACUCCUAAUUUAUCCCUCCCAUAUUUCCUGUUUGGUAAUCAUAGAUUUAUUUUAUAUGCUUGUGAGCUACCCCUGUGGUGCAGUGGGUUAAGAAUCCGACUGCAACAGCUUGGGUUACUGUGGAGGUGCAGGUUCAAUAUCUGGACUAGCACAAUUGGUUAAAGGACCUGUUGUUUCCACAGCUGUGGUAUAGGUCACAUUUGCAGCUCAGAUUCCAUCAUUGGCUGAGGAACUUCCAUAUGCCAUGAGUGUUGCCAUAAAAAAAAUUCAAUUGUAUACAUAUACCACAUCUUCCUCAUCUAUUUCUCUGUCAAUGGGCAUUUAGGUUGUUCCCAUGUCUUAACUGUUAUGUAUAGUACAGCAAUGAACACUGGGAUCCAUGUAUAUUUUUGAAAUAUGAUUUUAUUCAGAUAUAUGCACCCCAGUGGUCAUUGCAGCACUAUUUACAAUAGCCAAGACAUGGAAGCAACCAAAAGUCCAUCCAAAAAAGAAUACAUAAUGAAGAUGUGGUACAUACAUACAAUGAAAUUCUACUCAGCCAUAAAAAAGAAUGAAAUAAUGCUAUUUUCCACAGCAUGGAUGGACUUUUUCUUUCUUUCUUUCUUUCUUUCUUUUUUUUUUU
This 3197-nucleotide long non-coding RNA is filed under the name Sus scrofa (pig). RNAcentral's name for it is "lncRNA (ENSSSCG00060014509.1)". The record is from RNAcentral. Lineage: Eukaryota; Metazoa; Chordata; Mammalia; Artiodactyla; Suidae.